RNAcentral lists this ribosomal RNA (332 nucleotides) under uncultured eukaryote. RNAcentral describes it as "partial 18S ribosomal RNA". It matches the Rfam family "Eukaryotic small subunit ribosomal RNA", at positions 1470 to 1796 of the family's 1831-position model. The record is from RNAcentral.
CCCUUAGAUGUUCUGGGCUGCACACGUGCUACACUGGCAGGUUCAGCGAGCUUCAUGCCCUGAUCUGAAAGGAAUGGGAAAUCUUUUCAAAACCUGCCGUGCUUGGGAUAGAUGUUUGCAAUUAUUCAUCUUCAACGAGGAUUGCCUUGUAAGCGCACGUCAUCAGCGUGCAUUGAAUACGACCCUGUAUUCUGUACACCCCGCCCGUCGCUCCUACCGAUUGAAGUUUUCGGUGAGUUGACAGGAGGAUUUUUUUGAAACUGGUUCGCCAGUGGAUUUUAGAUCCAAAUGCCAACGAAUCGAUGGCUUUAGAGGAAGGAGAAGUCGUAACA